UGCGUAGGGUGCGAGCGUUGUCCGGAAUUACUGGGCGUAAAGAGCUCGUAGGUGGUUUGUCGCGUUGUUCGUGAAAACCGGGGGCUUAACCCUCGGCGUGCGGGCGAUACGGGCAGACUUGAGUACUGCAGGGGAGACUGGAAUUCCUGGUGUAGCGGUGGAAUGCGCAGAUAUCAGGAGGAACACCGGUGGCGAAGGCGGGUCUCUGGGCAGUAACUGACGCUGAGGAGCGAAAGCAUGGGGAGCGAACAGG
RNAcentral lists this ribosomal RNA (253 nucleotides) under uncultured bacterium. RNAcentral describes it as "partial 16S ribosomal RNA". It matches the Rfam family "Bacterial small subunit ribosomal RNA", at positions 524 to 776 of the family's 1533-position model. The record is from RNAcentral.